GAUGAACGCUGGCGGCGUGCCUAACACAUGCAAGUCGAACGGACAUUUUUUGGAAAGUUCUUCGGAACUGGAAUCUAAAUGUUAGUGGCGGACGGGUGAGUAACGCGUGAGCAAUCUGCCUUUCAGAGGGGGAUAACAGCCGGAAACGGCUGCUAAUACCGCAUAAGCGCACAGAAUCGCAUGAUUCAGUGUGAAAAGCCCUGGCAGUAUAGGAUGGUCCCGCGUCUGAUUAGCUGGUUGGUGAGGUAACGGCUCACCAAGGCGACGAUCAGUAGCCGGCUUGAGAGAGUGAACGGCCACAUUGGGACUGAGACACGGCCCAA
This 323-nucleotide ribosomal RNA is filed under the name uncultured bacterium. RNAcentral's name for it is "bacterial SSU rRNA". It matches the Rfam family "Bacterial small subunit ribosomal RNA", at positions 28 to 334 of the family's 1533-position model. The record is from RNAcentral.